GACUAACGCUGGCGGGAUGCCUCAUACAUGCAAGUCGAACGCACCUUCGGGUGAGUGGCGCACGGGUGAGUAACACGUAGGUAAUCUGCAUUAUGCUGGGGGAUAACAGCUGGAAACGGCUGCUAAUACCGCAUAAGACAUUGGUUGAAAUACUAAUGUUUAAAGAAUUUCGGCAUAAGAUGAGCCUGCGGCGGAUUAGCUAGUUGGUAAGGUAAUGGCUUACCAAGGCUCCGAUCCGUAGCUGGUCUGAGAGGAUGACCAGCCACAGUGGAACUGAGACACGGUCCACACUCCUACGGGAGGCAGCAGUAGGGAAUUUUGCGCAAUGGGCUAACGCCUGACGCAGCAAUCCCGCGUGGAGGAUGAAGUAUCUUGGUAUGUAAACUCCUUUCGGUAGUGACGAUUAUGACGGUAACUACAGAAGAAGCAUCGGCUAACUACGUGCCAGCAGCCGCGGUAAGGCACGACUGU
RNAcentral lists this ribosomal RNA (471 nucleotides) under uncultured bacterium. Its description in RNAcentral is "bacterial SSU rRNA". It matches the Rfam family "Bacterial small subunit ribosomal RNA", at positions 28 to 532 of the family's 1533-position model. The record is from RNAcentral.